This 492-nucleotide ribosomal RNA is filed under the name uncultured bacterium. RNAcentral's name for it is "partial 16S ribosomal RNA". It matches the Rfam family "Bacterial small subunit ribosomal RNA", at positions 29 to 507 of the family's 1533-position model. The record is from RNAcentral.
AGUGAACGCUGGCGGUAGGCCUAACACAUGCCAGUCGAACGGCAGCACAGUAAGAGCUUGCUCUUACGGGUGGCGAGUGGCGGACGGGUGAGGAAUACAUCGGAAUCUACUUUUUCGUGGGGGAUAACGUAGGGAAACUUACGCUAAUACCGCAUACGACCUACGGGUGAAAGCAGGGGAUCUUCGGACCUUGCGCGAUUGAAUGAGCCGAUGUCGGAUUAGCUAGUUGGCGGGGUAAAGGCCCACCAAGGCGACGAUCCGUAGCUGGUCUGAGAGGAUGAUCAGCCACACUGGAACUGAGACACGGUCCAGACUCCUACGGGAGGCAGCAGUGGGGAAUAUUGGACAAUGGGCUCAAGCCUGAUCCAGCCAUACCGCGUGGGUGAAGAAGGCCUUCGGGUUGUAAAGCCCUUUUGUUGGGAAAGAAAAGCAGCAGGUUAAUACCCCGCUGUUCUGACGGUACCCAAAGAAUAAGCACCGGCUAACUUCGUG